Long non-coding RNA from Peromyscus californicus insignis, 5795 nucleotides. RefSeq lists it as uncharacterized. Lineage: Eukaryota; Metazoa; Chordata; Mammalia; Rodentia; Cricetidae. The transcript has 3 exons. The record is from RefSeq and is a predicted model, not a curated record.
CCCGCCUGGAGCGAUUGUGUCUUCGGUCUUCUGUCAUCUCCUAAGCCCCGCAAGGGCCUUUUGGAAAAAUAUUCAAGUGUAAAAUACUCGUGUGUAUAUGAGCCGGCCAAAGGCUGGCUUUGAACUGACAAUCCUCAGCCUCAGGAACAGUAGAAUCACAGGGGAGAAAAUUAGAGAAGUAGACACACUGAAGCAAGAAGACUGCAUGGAAUUGUGUAGCAGAAUCAAGACCCCAAAAAGAUGCCUGGAUUCCAGAUUCUAUGGAUUUGCUACCCUUCAUGGCAAAGAGACCAGUAAGAUGGUCAAGAUGAAGGCAGGGGGAUGUGGAAAUCGUUUUGUAUUAGCUAAGUGGACACAAUCUCAUCCUUUGGGGCUAAUCAUGAGUCAAGAACCAUCUCCAGCCUUAUGUGUGUGGGGGUGGGGGACAGAGGGCGGGGCUACAACAUCACCAGUGGAAGGAGGGAAGGGAGGUUUGAACUGACCAUAUUUACUGAAGAUGGAAGAAAAAGCUGUGUCUAAGUUUCAAUCUAAGACUGGGUCCUUUUUCUCCUUGGAAUUAUGGAACCAGUAACAAGACCCAGCCCCAACUAAGUAGCAAAGGACACUCUUUACUCUUGGCCAAGAGUAAGGGAAAGGGUCUAGGGAGAUGCUCAGUGGAUAGCAGGGCUUGCGUGCAAGCAUGAAGUAAGUUCAAAUCCCCGGCACAGCAGAAAAAACCAGGCAUGACUGUUGGUACUUGUAACCCCAGCAGUGGGGGUGAGGAUAGGCAGAUCACAAUAGCUCUCUGGCAAGCUGAAAUGAGAAGGUCCUGCCUGAGGAAGAGACACUGCCCAAAAGAACAAAGAGAGUGAUAAAGAUGCUGGACGUCUUGCUCUGGCUUCUGAAUGCACAUGCACCUGCACACUCAUCUACAUGCACCACACACAACAGAAUAAGAAAAGUGGGCUGUGUGUGGCUGUGCACACCUGUAAUCCCAGCACUUGGGAGGUGGCGGCAGGAGAAUCAGGAAUUCAGGGGCAUCUGUGUUAGCUAUGACCAUGCCAUCGUGCAAAGCACCUCCAAUUUGACGAAAGAAUGACAACUGAAGAAAUUUGGUUCUCUGAAGUAAAGGAACUUGUUUCUCUAUUAUCGAUUUCCCCACCCUGCAGACCUCCAUGAAUGGCCACCACAAAAGAUGUUUAUCUGUCACCUGAUAUUCUUCAACUGCCACUCACUGCCUACCACUAGCAACUGCAGACCAAAAUAGGAAAUGUUUCUAUCUCCUUCUGUCUUUUAAAACCUGUAAGAAGGGCUGGAGAGAUGGCUCAGGGGUUCAAUUCCCAGCACCCACAUGGCAGCUCACAACUGUCUAUAACUCCAGUUCUAGAUGAUCCUACACCCUCACGUAUAAAAUAAAUAAAUCAUUUUAAAAAAAAACUGUAAGAAGGGACGGACUGGGACACACACACACACACACACACACACACACACACACACACACACCUUGCCCAAACUCUCCUCAGAGUCCCACCAUGCUGCCGUCUGCCUGUCUAUGGAGAACAGAAGUGGGAAGCAGGCUGAUAAGUGAACUUCCUAAGCCCCACAAAUGGGCGGGUUGCAAUAACUCUGGGGUGGGAUAGGCUAACAGUGGGAAUGAACAUUUGUAUCUUAUCUUUUCUGAGGAUGGGCUGAGAUAUUUUUCUGGGACUCAUCACACGUCUGUAGUUUUCUCAAGUCACUGUAAUGACAGUUGUCAACCUUCAUGACACUGGAGGGGAUGUCAUUUAGCAUACCGAUGGAAAUACGAUAACAUCAGAGGUGAUCUGAUGUCACUCUGGCAACUGGCCCAACUGGUCUCUGUCAACCACCAGAGGAGAGACUUCAGGUCUUCCUACAUCAUGUCAUCAAAUGUAGGCAAGUCUAGGGUGAGGUACGAAUUUGGCCAGUGAAGAUUAGGGCAGGGUAAGAACCGUAGGGUUUGAAUGAGAUGUACCCCAGUGGGCUCAUAUAUUUGAAUACUUGUUUCCUAGCUGGUGCUGCUGUUUCUGAAGGUCACGGAACUUUUAGGAGGUGGAGCCUUGAUGGAGGAAGUAUAUCACUGGGGAAGGGUUUGGAGGUGUAGUUGUUUGUUUUUUACUCAUUUUGGGGGGGGGGGGCACCACCCAGUUCCCAAAUAAAUUCUCACACAGAGGCUUAUUCUUAAUUAUGAAUGCCUGGCCUUAGCUUGGCUUAGUUUCUAGGCAACUUUUCUCAAAUUAUCCCAUCUACAUUUUGCCUCUGGGCUUUUCCUGUUCUCUUACUUCCGUAAAUCUAAUUCUUACUCUGUGGCUUACUGUGUAGCUGGGUGUCUGGCCUCUGGAGUCCUUCUUCCUCUCUUGUUCCUAGCUCCCCUUCUCCCAGUUUUCUCCAUAUGUGUGUGUGUGUGUGUGUGUGUGUGUGUGUGUCUCCCUGCCAGCCCCGCCUAUCCUUUCUCCUGCCUUGCUAUUGGCCGUUCAUCUCUUUAUUAGACCAUCAGGUGUUUUAGACAGGCACAGUAACACAGCUUCACAGAGUUAAACAAAUGCAACACAAACAAAAGUAGCACACCUUAAAAUAAUAUUCUACUACAGGAGGUUGUAUAGCCUUCCCCAUUUCCUGUUUUCUCUCUGUGUUUCCUGUAUGCUGAUAAAAUGUGAUCACUCAGCUUCCUGACUUCAUGACCCUGCUGCUGUUCCUUCCCCACCAUGAUGGGUGGGACCCAUAAGCCCCUCCUUUCUCCCCACCCUCUCCCCCUCACCAAUUCUCCCCUAAGUUCCUUUUAGUCAGAGUCUUCUAUCACAGCAACAAAAAAGUAACCAAUACAAGCUGCAAGCCUGGGAGAGCACAGGCAAUGUCCCUCAAAGCUGGAAAACACAAGGAAAUGGAGACUCACAGAAUCCCCUACGUGCCCCACAACCAGCUUUGGUUCUGUGAAACUUUUAUUGGACUCCUAACCUACAGAACUGUAUUUAACUGACUGUAAGAAGAUUAAUUUGUAUUAUUUGGGGUAGGAUAUUUAGGACCACGGGCAGGGCCCUGGGUUCAAUUGAGCCCCACACUGAAAAAAAAAAAGAAAGAAAAGCUAUAUUGUUUCAAGUCAUAGCAUUGGUAGUUGUGCUAGUUGGCUUUCUGCUACUGUGAUGAAAAACCAAAAACAGGACCAAGGCAACUUAUGGAAGAAAGAGUUUAUUCUGGUCAUGAUUCAAGGGGGCUGAGAGUCCAAUACGGUGGGCAGGAAUGGCUAAGGAGGAAGAAACUGAGAGAUCAUAUCCUCAACUACAAGCAAGAGACAGACAGAGAACAGGAAGUAGAAUGAGGCUACAUACACUCAAGCCCGCCCCUAGUGACCCACUUCUUCCAGCAAGACCUCACUUCCUAAACAGUGUGCCAACUGGGAACGGAGGCCUAGAGGGGACAUUUCUCAUUCAAACUGUUGGUUUUAAAUGCGGCACUUUUACUCUGCGAGGAAAAGUCAUGAGGCACGACAAAACCCGUUGUCAGAGCAGAGUUUUAUUAGAAGGGAGAGGGGAGGGAGAGGAGAGUACGUGGCUAAGGCCUGUUGGAAAGACAGGAGAGGAGGAGGGAGAGAUGGGGGAGGAGGAGAGAGCAGAAGAGAGGGGAGGAGUCUGUGACCGGCUUUUUAAGGAUUCCCCUGCACAUGCGCAUGUGGGCUUACGGAGCUGCACCACACAUGUGCACAGAUUACACAGGACAUAAAACCCCUUGCUUGGCCACUGAACUGCGCAUGUACUGUCCAUCAUAUAGCUGGAGGAGUGGCCGGAAUCCUAACACAAACCACCGCAGUAAUUCUGAGCUUGAAGCAGCAAAGGAAGAUGGGUACAAGCAUUUGCUGUAUUUCUACCUUCACAUAUGUUUAAGGUGUUCUGUUUUGUUUGUAAUAACCUAAGAAAUAUGCUUCUUGUUGUUGUUGUUUUUCAAGGCAGGGUGUCUUUGUAGAUGUAGCCUUGGCUGUCCUGGAACAAGCUCUGUAGACCAGGCUGGCCUCAAACUCACAGAGAUCUGCCUGCCUCCUCCUCUUGAGUGCUGGGAUUAAAGGUGUGCAGAAGAAAUACUUUUGUCAAAAUAUUUCAUUUUUACCUAAAGUGUAGGCCCACCUAGCAUAGAGUAUGAUACAUUUAACUUGAAAGGGAAUUUUAUGUCAUGAUACUUUUGUAAAAGAAACCUUAAGUAAUAAAGUAACAUUUAUUUUCAAAGUUGUAAACAUUAAAACACAGAGUGCAUACUCUGUUAAAGAUGGCUUGUCUAGGCCAGUUUCUUUCAAAAAUCUUCAUACUAUACCUUCGAGAAUGCUAACAGGGGCCUGGAGAAGUGGCCUAGUGGUCCACAGCACUUAUUCUUGCAAAUGACCCAGGAUCAAAUCCCAACACCCUCAAAAGCAGCUGGGACUCCAGUUCCAGGGGAUCUAGUGACUUCUUCUGGUUUCUGUGGCCAUAUACAUACAUGCAAGCAAGAUACCCAUAUACAUAAUGAAAAUUAAAAAUUAAUUUUUAAAAAAAGCAUAUGACGGUGAGAAGGUAUAAUCCCCAAAGUCACAUGUAGGAACAGUCGACUCUAGUCAGUGGUUGUGACCCCUCUGGGAGGAGUCGAAUGAUUCUUUCACAAGGGUGGCCUAAAACCAUUGGAAAACACAAAUAUUUACAUUACAAUUCAUAACAGUAGCAAAAUUACACUUAUGAAGUAGCACCAAAAUUAAUUUUAUGGUUGGAGGAUCACCACUACAUGAGGAACUGUAUUAAAAGGUCACAGAAAGGUUUAGAACCAUUACUCAAGUAAAUACAUAGCUGUAAAUAAUAAUAAUGAUAAUAAUCAAUUCUUAAAAUACUGCCAGCAUUUACAAAAAUAUGCUUUCUACCAGCAUAUAUAAAUAUAAAGAAACAGAUUAGACAAGUAAAUAAAAUGUGCAGGAAUUUUUAAAGAGAAUUAUCUCCAUGCUUCAGCUAAAGCUCUCUUGGUAGAGUACUUGUCCAGCAUCCACCCUUGGUUCAACCCCCAGCAGCACAUAAAGCCAGUUGUGUUUGCUGGAAGUCUACAAUCCAACACUUCUGUAAUCCCGAAAGAUGGAGGCAGGAGGGUCAGAAAUUCCAGGCCAUCCUCAGCUACAUAGUAAACUCAAGGCCAGUCUGGGUGCCCCUGUAAAAAUAAUUUUAAAAAGUUUUAAGUCUACCAAACUGUGCAAAGGUAGAAUAGUUUAAAUGGUUCCCAGGGGCUGAGAGAACAGCUCGAUUGUUAAUGGACUAGACAUCGUUAAUGUAAUUCUUGACUGUAUAUGUUGUAUAGCCUUGUUGGAUACAGUUUUUCUUGUAUUAGGUAUAAGCUUUUUUAAAUUUUAGACAAAAAAGGGGGAAAUGUGGUGAUAUUGUGUCCCCCCCAAUAUAUUAUGCACCCUAAUAAACUUAUCUGGGGGUCAGAGAACAGAACAGCCACUAUAUUAAACAUAGGUUUAGACAGUGGUAGACAUGCCUUUAAUCCUAGCAUUCCGGAGGCAGAGAUCCAUCUGGAUCUCUGAGUUCAAAGCCACAAUGAAACAGCCAGGCAUGGUGACACAUGCCUUUAAUCCCAGGAAGUGAUGGCAGGAAGCAGAAAGGUAUAUAAGGCGUGAGGACCAGGAACUAGAGUCCUUUUAAGCUUUGAGGCUUUUAGCAGCGGUUCAGCUGAGAUCCAUUUGGAUGAGGACUCAGAGGCUUCCAGUCUGAGGAAACAAGAUCAGCUGAGAAAUUGGCAAGAUGAAGUUGGAUGUGGCUUGUUCUGUUUCUCUGAUCUUUCAGUGUUCACCCCAA